CAGAGUUCGGUCCUCAGGAUCGGGGAGGAGAUGCCGGGAGACAGCUGGUGCGAUCGCUGGGCCGGUCGGGGAUCCGGAGCACAGGAGCCGGGCAGUCCAAGGAGCAGGCAACAGAAACCCGAGGCGCUCAGGCAGGACUCGUGGUCGGGGACAGAAGGCUGAGGUGCUCACCGGGGCGGAGACAGACGAACGGGUCGGGAACAGGCAGGGUCGAAACCGGGAGAUCAGUCCAAGGUAGAGCGCUGGAGAGACUUGCAUGUCGCGAAGAACAAUCUGGCAAUGACAGGCUGGGUGUGCAGUGCUUAUGUAGCGGGGCUGAUCGUGAAUGCGAAGCAGGUGUGGAAGGCAGGAGAGUGACUGAUUGUGGAUGCGGGGCAGGUGUGGAAGAUCGAGCUGGCAGAAAUGAAUUCACAGCCCGUUAAGGUUUUUCAAGUCCUGCAUAUACCCAAUUAUGCGGCUCUUCACUGAACAAGGUUUUACAAGGGAAGGUUAUUCAGGAGCAGCAUGCAUAUCUGAAAAGAAAACACAAGAUGGUCCAGCUUCAAAGAAACCACAGCUGUUGUGAAUUUGAGAAAAGCUUUUCUUUCUGUGACGCAUGAAAAGAUCUCAGCAAGUUCUUCCUGUUCUACCCCACUCGUCUUAAACUGGGUUACAUAUGUGCGGUGAGAAUGAAUCAACCGUAUUGCUUUAGUUAUGUUUGCUUUCAACUCCAAAUAAACUAUAAUUCCGCAGAGCUUGUCAAUUGUAGAUUGUGCUGAUUGCGAAGGCCAUUUUGGUAAAGCGAGUUCUACUAUAGGGAUAAAUAAAUGUUGCUUGACUAGUGUAAAUCCACCCAUCAUCCUUCAGAAUUCUACAAUUUAAUAUUUAUUCCUGAAACCCAGAUGUCAUCCUUCUGACGCAAGUUUUAUGACCCUUUAUUUAGUUGAAUCAACAACAAGGUUGAAAUAGACGUGUAGAAAAAAAAUACAUGAGUAAAGCAUCUCCCACUGUCAGUGGGUGGAAAACAAUUCAUGACAUGCAGGAAAAUGCAAAGCCAUGAAUAACAUGUUCUAUUAAGAGAGUGUUUUCAGGAUGACGUGUUUGUGUUGGCCAACCCUAGAAGCUAGUGUCCUGCAUCAAGCAUUGGAUAUGUUUUUUUCACAAAUUAACUGCACUAAUAUUUUUGGAGCGGGAUACCAUCUAAAAAGUAAAGUUAGGUAGGUAAAGUUAGGUAAAAAAAGUAAAAAGAUGACACACUAAACUUUUGAACUAUAGUCUCGUAAACUUGAGUUUCCUCAACAGGGCUGUAAAGGCAGACUAGUUGGUGUGAUGUCUUUGGAGUCUUAUUUGGCCCCUUUAUACGGGUAUACAGGUAAAAAAUUCAUGAAUGAGGUAUUUACUGACUUUUUUAAUAUUACAGAACAGAUGCUAUUAAAUAUCUUCAGCAUGUUAACAACAAGCCUUCUUUCAGGCAUCUAACCAAAAGAAAGAUUCAAAAGAGGUUUAAACAAACAAAACAAAAGGGAAAAGAGAACUAGAGGUGUAAAACGCAGGUUAUUCUUUUUAAGGCUUUAGUACUCUUUCCUGCAGUCUUCUGUUGGUAUUAUGUAAAUAAAAUAGGUGAAUGGAAACACAUUUAAUGUAACUGCUAUUGAAAAACAGUCAGACAAGAUUCUACCUAUUCUACCUAAAUAUUCUCACAGAGGGCCAUUGGAGGAUAGAAUCUGUCUGGGACCUUUGGCACAGCCCCCACCUGUCCGUUCUUUAUUUCUUUCUGACUCUCACUCACACGCAGACAAAACAGGUGUUUUCAGUAGUUCUACACAAAACAUCUUCAAAUAAAUCUUUAAAUUUACACUGUAAUCGUGAACCAACUUGAAAUUAAAAUCAGAUGAAAGAGAAUCUAAUGUUUACAGUUGUAAAAAAUUCAGAAAUUGCACCGACCUUUCCACACCACAGGCUUCUUAACAUGCAACUAUUUGCGCCACACUGAACCUAAGGGUAACAAGAAACCAGUUCUACCUGUUAUGAUCACACCUGCCUAGGGCUCUAAACUUGCCCUGGACAAUAAGGUCAACGGGGUGGAUGCUACGCCCAAC
Long non-coding RNA from Gasterosteus aculeatus aculeatus (three-spined stickleback), 2078 nucleotides. Lineage: Eukaryota; Metazoa; Chordata; Actinopteri; Perciformes; Gasterosteidae. The record is from Ensembl.